AUGGCUGGGUAUGGGACCCUCCUCCAGGAUCUGACCAACAAUAUCACCCUUAAAGAUCUGAAACAGCACAAGUCAACCUGUAAGAAGGACAUCCCCAGUGAAAAGAGUGAGGAGAUCACUACUGGCGAUGUCUGGUUUAGCUUCCUGAAGAGCCACUAGCCGGACAAAGACAACCUCUCCUACACUAAGCACAUCUUUGAGAUAUUGACGAAAAUUGUCUUGUGCUCAAUGUAGG
RNAcentral lists this long non-coding RNA (235 nucleotides) under Homo sapiens (human). Its description in RNAcentral is "non-protein coding lnc-PLCZ1-4:1". Lineage: Eukaryota; Metazoa; Chordata; Mammalia; Primates; Hominidae. The record is from RNAcentral.